AUUGAACGCUGGCGGCAGGCCUAACACAUGCAAGUCGAACGGUAACAGGCAGCAGCUUGCUGCUUUGCUGACGAGGGGCGGACGGGUGAGUAGUGUCUGGGAAACUGUCCGCUGGAGGGGGAUAACUACUGGAAACGGUAGCUAAUACCGCAUAACGUCGCAAGCCCAAUGAGGGGGGGCUUAUGGCCUCUUGCCAUCGGGUGUGCCCGGAUGGGCGUAGCUAGUGUGUGGGGUAACGGCUCACCUAGGCGACGAGCUCUAUAUGGUGUGAGAGAAUGAGCAGCCACACUGGAAGUGAACCAGCGUCAAUGGUACUACGGGAGGGAGCAGUGGGGUAUAUUGGACAACAGGCGGAAGCAUUAUGCAGCCAGGCCGCGUGUAUGAAGAAGGCCUUCGGGUUGUAAAGUACGUUCAGCGGUGAUGAAGGGAGUAAGGCUAAGACCUUGGCUCAUUGACGGUAACCGGAGAAGAAGCACCGGCUAACUCCGUG
Molecule: ribosomal RNA, 490 nt
Filed under: uncultured bacterium
Lineage: Bacteria
Description: partial 16S ribosomal RNA
Rfam family: Bacterial small subunit ribosomal RNA
Source: RNAcentral